CGAUGGGCCAACCCUUCUGCCCGCCCCCGUUUUUUGUCUCUGCUCACCCAAUGAAAAUGGUCUUGCUACACUCCUGGAAAAGGUGCAGGUCUAAGAAAGAUGGAAGGGAAACUAUAAGGAGCCUUGAGCAGAUUCCUUCUGGACUGGAAGGUCAUCUAUCAACAUUGGAGUGAGGGAAAUGCUCUAGUCGUGGCCAUUGCAACCUGAAGGCACUUUGAUCAACAUUCAAGGGAUCCCAAAUUCACUGCUCAUUCUUUGAUGCAUCUCUGAAUAUUCCUCAGGACUGCAAGAUUUAUGAUGCUUCCAUUUUCCUGAGAAGCUGUCAUUCUCUGUGUACUUAUGCCUUGUCUCAUUUUACUCCUCAUUCAUCUGUCAUUUCACUCUUCUGCACAAAAUGUAUUGUUCACCUUUCUGAAGCUGCUCAACAUGGAAAGGCUUCCCUGCACUCCUCUUUCCCCUACAAUAAACCUCAUCUAU
Molecule: long non-coding RNA, 477 nt
Organism: Rhineura floridana
Lineage: Eukaryota; Metazoa; Chordata; Lepidosauria; Squamata; Rhineuridae
Exons: 3
Source: RefSeq, a predicted model, not a curated record